Molecule: unclassified non-coding RNA, 642 nt
Filed under: uncultured bacterium
Lineage: Bacteria
Description: partial contains 16S ribosomal RNA, 16S-23S ribosomal RNA intergenic spacer, and 23S ribosomal RNA
Rfam family: tRNA (bases 143-215)
Source: RNAcentral
GUCGUAACAAGGUAGCCGUAUCGGAAGGUGCGGCUGGAUCACCUCCUUUUGAGCAAAGACAGCAUCGUCCUGUCGGGCGUCUUCACAAAGUACCUGCAUUCAGAGAAUCACAACGGCCAGGCCGCUGUGAGAGUCCCUAUAUGGGGCCUUAGCUCAGCUGGGAGAGCACCUGCUUUGCAAGCAGGGGGUCGUCGGUUCGAUCCCGACAGGCUCCACCAUCUGGCAAACCAUGCGAGUUCUUCGCAACAGCCUGCGGCAACAUGGCAGGGUGUUGAAGGAAAAGCUUUUGGGUCUGUAGCUCAGGUGGUUAGAGCGCGCCCCUGAUAAGGGCGAGGUCGGUGGUUCGAGUCCUCCUAGACCCACCAUUUUCUGGAUGUUUGAUUGCGCAUACGAAUUUUCAAAGUUUGAGUGUCAGGCGUUGAGGCCUGCAUUCUGCUCUUUAACAACUUGUGACGUAGCGAGCGUUUUAGAUGAUCAUCUAAACACGUGUCGUUGAGGCUAAGGCGGGGACCAUGAGUCCCUAGAAAUUGAGUGGUUAUAUUCGUGUUCCGGGCUUUGUACCCCUGGGACAAGGCAUAUGGCUCUGAGGCAACUUGGGGUUAUAUGGUCAAGCGAAUAAGCGCACACGGUGGAUGCCUUGGC